GUAGGUGAACCUGCGGAAGGAUCAUUAACACGUUCCAACGUUACUAAGCAAACUCGGUAUCAUAUGUUUUCAACCCAACUCCCAUCCGAAACGCAAUUUAUAUUUAUUUUGUUAGUACCUUGGACUCCAUAGAACUGUCUUUGCUCUGGUCAUUCACUAAGUUUGAUCGUCACCGUACGGACGCCCCCCCCACCACCUACCACAUUAACCCUCGUUACUUUAGUUGUUUGGUUUGCUUACUUUGCUUUCAGGUUUACGCCGACUGUGCUGUUUGCACGUUUAUUUAUGAACGUUAAAAUACAACUCUUAGCAAUGGAUAUCUUGGUUCUC
Molecule: unclassified non-coding RNA, 330 nt
Filed under: rhizosphere metagenome
Description: partial ribosomal RNA internal transcribed spacer region
Source: RNAcentral